AUUGAACGCUGGCGGCAGGCCUAACACAUGCAAGUCGAGCGGAUGAAGGGAGCUUGCUCCUGGAUUCCGCGGCGGACGGGUGAGUAAUGCCUAGGAAUCUGCCUGGUAGUGGGGGAUAACGUCCGGAAACGGGCGCUAAUACCGCAUACGUCCUGAGGGUGAAAGUGGGGGGUCUUUGGACCUUACGCUAUCAGAUGAGCCUAGGUCGGUUUGGCUAGUUGGUGGGGUAAAGGCCUACCAAGGCGACGAUCCGUAACUGGUCUGAGAGGAUGAUCAGUCACACUGGAACUGGGACACGGUCCAGACUCCUACGGGAGGCAGCAGUGGGGAAUAGUGGACAAUGGGCGAAAGCCUGAUCCAGCCAUGCCGCGUGUGUGAAGAAGGUCUUCGGAUUGUAAAGCACUUUAAGUUGGGAGGAAGGGCAGUAAGUUAAUACCUUGCUGUUUUGACGUUACCAACAGAAUAAGCACCGGCUAACUUCGUG
This 484-nucleotide ribosomal RNA is filed under the name uncultured bacterium. RNAcentral's name for it is "partial 16S ribosomal RNA". It matches the Rfam family "Bacterial small subunit ribosomal RNA", at positions 30 to 507 of the family's 1533-position model. The record is from RNAcentral.